Molecule: long non-coding RNA, 194 nt
Organism: Cervus elaphus (red deer)
Lineage: Eukaryota; Metazoa; Chordata; Mammalia; Artiodactyla; Cervidae
Exons: 3
Source: RefSeq, a predicted model, not a curated record
AAAAAGGCUUGUGUGAGAUAUGGAGGAAUGCUGGGUAGAGUUGGUUGAUGCCAAUUGUUACUAUCCUGAGGCCUAAUUGGCUGAAGGUGGAGAAAGCAAUGAUUUAUUUUGAUAUCAUUCUGGGUAAUGGCACAUAUUGCUCUAAAUGUUGUGAUAGCCCCUAGGCAUAAUGUAACCAAUGGGGUACAUUUAUA